UACGUAGGGGGCAAGCGUUAUCCGGAAUUAUUGGGCGUAAAGCGUGCGUAGGUGGUUACCUAAGCGCAAGGUUUAAUCUUGUGGCUCAACCUCAUUCUGCCUUGCGAACUGGACUACUUGAGUGCAGGAGGGGAAAGCGGAAUUCCUUGUGUAGUGGUGAAAUGCGUAGAUAUAAGGAAGAACACCGGUGGCGAAGGCGGCUUUCUGGACUGUAACUGACACUGAGGCACGAAAGCGUGGGGAGCAAACA
RNAcentral lists this ribosomal RNA (250 nucleotides) under uncultured prokaryote. RNAcentral's name for it is "partial 16S ribosomal RNA". It matches the Rfam family "Bacterial small subunit ribosomal RNA", at positions 524 to 774 of the family's 1533-position model. The record is from RNAcentral.